Molecule: RNA transcript, 2618 nt
Organism: Vicia villosa (hairy vetch)
Lineage: Eukaryota; Viridiplantae; Streptophyta; Magnoliopsida; Fabales; Fabaceae
Gene name: DNA repair protein RAD5A-like
Exons: 9
Source: RefSeq, a predicted model, not a curated record
ACCAUUUUUUUCCUAAACCUAAUUUCUUUCCAAACCUCAUCAACCCCUUUCUUCUUCUUUCUAUCAACCGCCAAAACUCAACAACCACCAAAACUCUCACGCCUCCUCAUUCGAUCGACUCAACCCUCGUCUCUCAUUCUCUCAUAUCUCCAUUUCUGAACGGUGGUUAGACUCAUUCAACCAUCUUCUUCAUUCAGUCUCACAACCAUGAAUAUAAGCCAGCUUCGUCGUCUUCUUCUCGUCUUCGUAACUUCCGGCGCCGCUAGAUAACCACCACCAUCAUCGCCUUCGCUUGAAUCAAAGGUCUCGGAACACCAAUCACAUCCGAAGUACAUCAUUCCUCCAUUUCAACCGCGAUUUUGAUUCUUAACACAAAACCCUAGGUUCUUUACGGACAGAAUUGAACAUUCACCGUCACAAAUUGAGCUCAAUUCCUUGGGGGUUCGAUUCACCAUAGCAUAAGCUUCGUGUUGGUGACAAGAACUAAGCAAAGCGGUGAAGUAAAGAAUGAGUUCGGCAGUUACCUAUCAGAGAUUAACAAAUGCAAUUUCAACAACGACGAAGAGAAAAAGAAAACCAGAUGCUCCGCCUUUCAGGGUAAACCAAGAAAUAACACACAGAGAUGAUGUAACUUUUUGGCUGAUACUUUGUCAAUAGGCUUAUGAAUACUAGAACAUAGAUGUUUCAUAGGAGAUGACAAGGAGACUUUUGAGACAUUUGAAUCUAUGGAGUUUGGACUACUCUUUUUCUAGAGGAACUGCUCAUUUACUUGCAAAGAUCUUGACUAUCAACAAACUCUAAGGGGUACAACUUGCUGUUAACAACCAUGCAUGGUGAUUUUACUGUGUUUCAUUUCCAGUCAAAUUAUCUGGCUUUGCUUUCAGUGCCAACGGGUGGGGUCAAUCCUAUGGAUCCCACUAUGUCAAACAAGCAAUUAUCUAUGGUGAUGUGAGUCAUCCCAAGCCAAUGACUGUUUUCUGGUCUUCGACAGCUCAAAGUUUGACAAAACGACCUAUGAAGGGAAUGCUUACUGGCCCUGUUACAAUUCUGAACUGGUCCUUUGUUAGAGAUGACCAACCUUGAUUUGAGACUUGCUACCAAAUUGCGUUGGCUAUAAAGGAUGAGGUUGAGGAUCUUGAGAAAGCUAGCAUUACUGUCAUCCAAAUCGACGAGGCUGCUUUAAGAGAAGGUUUGCCUCUAAGGAAAUUUGAGGAGGCUUUCUAUCUAAACUGGGCAGUUCACUCAUUUAGGAUUACAAACUGUGGUGUGCAAGACACUACCCAGGUUCAACUUCACUUCACGGGCUCUAAUCUUCAUUAAUGAUUAUUAUGCAGUUUAUUUACUAAGCCUGUAUUAAUUCUAACAACAUUUCUACAAGAGGAUUACAACAAGUGUCAAAAUUGUGGAAAGUUCAGUCCAAAAAUCACUGAACCAUUCUUCGGAUGGUUUCACAUAGUAAAUUAUUUGUUUCUCUCCUUGAUGGAUUCUAUUUUUCAGAAAUUGGUAAUUUUUCUUCUUUUUCAUGUUAUUUCUCCAUAUUUGCUAUUUGGUUGAUGGUUCUAGGAAGCUCUAUCGGAUUCUCAAGCCAGAGAAAAUGAUAUUAAAGAAAGCGGUGCAUCUUUUGCAAGUGAAAGAAGUAGAAUAUUAUCUAAUAAGCUUAUUGAGAAAACUUCACUUUCUGGAUCUUUACUACCCUCCAUGGUUAUGGAAAUUCUACAGUUUUUGUGGGAGAAUGAAUCUAAGCUGUGCUCGUAGAUCAGUGACGUUCAAAAUCAAGGUUUUGGAAAGAAAGUCAGUCACUUAAUGUUCUUUCUGGAAAACAUUUUCGUUGCACCAAUCAAAUUCCGUCCCCAACCGAAAAUAGGUGAUAAUUUUGGAAGAUUUGUUUAGUCUCUUGUCUUUCUUGGGUGUUGAACCAUGGUGCAUCUGGCAGUGGUAUGUAAAAUAUUGGGCUAACUUGUAGCUAUUGUAAAUUUGAUCAUUGGUCAAGGGAAUUUUGAGGACAGUGAUGUUAAGAAGAACCAAGGACACAAAGGAUAAAGAAGGAAGGCCUAUACUUGUCCUGCCUCCAACUGAUAUUCAAUUGAUUGAGUGUGAACAGUCAGAAUCUGGACGGGACUUCUACGAUGCUCUCUUCCUGAGAUCUAAACAACAAUGUUUUAUGGUUUGUGGAUGUUCAAAUCUGUAUGAGAUGCAAUAUAUAUCAUGUUUCAAGCAUCAACCCUUAUGUUUAAGGCAUUUAGAUUAAUUAGGUCUUUCUAAUAAAUGUAGCUGAUCCAUUGUCUGGCUUGAAACUUGUUUGGGAGUGUGAUGCUAUAGUUCACCGCGUAGUUGAACACUCAUUCAAAUCCAAGAAAAUGGGAGGUAGUUUGGAACUCACUUUUUUCGGUUGUUAUCUUGUUUCAUUUCUAAUACUCCUUUGCAUUAAAUGUAAACGAUAUGUUUACUUGUGAUAGUGAGAUAUACAUUAUUACAAUCACUUGUUUUUGUGAGAUAUGCAUAUAAUGUAUAUAGAUUAUGAUAUGCAUGUAAUGUAUAUAGAUAAGACACUAAUGUGUUAUGGUUUAGGAGUGGUUUGAAUUGAAAGGGUGGUUGUAGGAAAUUUAUGAAAGAAUAUU